RNAcentral lists this small nuclear RNA (179 nucleotides) under Merops nubicus (carmine bee-eater). RNAcentral describes it as "U2 spliceosomal RNA". It matches the Rfam family "U2 spliceosomal RNA". Rfam says of the family: U2 is a small nuclear RNA (snRNA) component of the spliceosome (involved in pre-mRNA splicing). Complementary binding between U2 snRNA (in an area lying towards the 5' end but 3' to hairpin I) and the branchpoint sequence (BPS) of the intron results the bulging out of an unpaired adenosine, on the BPS, which initiates a nucleophilic attack at the intronic 5' splice site, thus starting the first of two transesterification reactions that mediate splicing. The record is from Rfam by way of RNAcentral. Lineage: Eukaryota; Metazoa; Chordata; Aves; Coraciiformes; Meropidae.
AUUGCUUCUUUGUUUUUUUGCUAAGAUCAUGUGUAGUAUCUGUUCUUAUCAGUUUAAUAUCUGAUACAUCCUCAAUGAGAUGACUUUAUACUAAAUGGAUUUUUGGGUCUGGGCGUUGGACCUGGUGCUUACUCCCUCUGUUCUACACAUUGUAGAGUGCCUCCAGGAAUGGAACGGAG